This 253-nucleotide ribosomal RNA is filed under the name uncultured prokaryote. RNAcentral describes it as "partial 16S ribosomal RNA". It matches the Rfam family "Bacterial small subunit ribosomal RNA", at positions 525 to 777 of the family's 1533-position model. The record is from RNAcentral.
ACGUAGGUGGCAAGCGUUGUUCGGAAUUAUUGGGCGUAAAGGGCGCGUAGGCGGUUUGUUAAGUCGGUCGUGAAAGCCCGGGGCUCAACCCCGGAGGGUCGACCGAUACUGGCAGACUAGAGUACAGAAGAGGUAGCUGGAAUUCCCGGUGUAGCGGUGAAAUGCGUAGAUAUUGGGAGGAACACCAGUGGCGAAGGCGGCUACCUGGACCGGUUCUGACGCUGAUGCGCGAAAGCCAGGGGAGCGAACGGGA